GGACAGUUAUAUAGCUAUAUAUAUGUCUCUCUCUCUCUCUCUCUCUCUCUCUAUAUAUAUAUAUAUAGAUAUAUCUCUCUCUAUAUAUAUAUAUAUAUAGAGAGAGAGAGAGAGAGAGAGAGACAUAUAUAUAGCUAUAUAACUGUC
This 147-nucleotide microRNA precursor is filed under the name Pelobates cultripes (western spadefoot toad). Lineage: Eukaryota; Metazoa; Chordata; Amphibia; Anura; Pelobatidae. The record is from RNAcentral.